RNAcentral lists this ribosomal RNA (253 nucleotides) under uncultured bacterium. RNAcentral describes it as "partial 16S ribosomal RNA". It matches the Rfam family "Bacterial small subunit ribosomal RNA", at positions 524 to 776 of the family's 1533-position model. The record is from RNAcentral.
UACAGAGGUCUCAAGCGUUGUUCGGAUUCAUUGGGCGUAAAGGGUUCGUAGGUGGCCUGCUAAGUCGGACGUGAAAUCCCUCGGCUCAACCGGGGAACUGCGUCCGAUACUGGUGGGCUCGAGUGCAGGAGAGGAACGCGGAAUUCCAGGUGUAGCGGUGAAAUGCGUAGAUAUCUGGAGGAACACCGGUGGCGAAGGCGGCGUUCUGGACUGCAACUGACACUGAGGAACGAAAGCCAGGGGAGCAAACGGG